This 308-nucleotide ribosomal RNA is filed under the name Sesamia poephaga. RNAcentral describes it as "partial 12S ribosomal RNA". The record is from RNAcentral. Lineage: Eukaryota; Metazoa; Arthropoda; Insecta; Lepidoptera; Noctuidae.
CUAAAAUAGUAAAUAAAUAUUUAUUAAAACUUAAAUAAUUUGGCGGUAUUUUAGUUCAUUUAGAGGAAUCUGUUUAAUAAUUGAUAUUCCACGAAUAAAUUUACUUAAUUUAUAAUUUUGUAUAUCGUUGUUAUAAAAAUAUUUUUUAAUAAAAUUAAUAUUUAAAAAUUAAUAUUAUAAAUUAAAUCAGAUCAAGAUGUAGAUUAUAAUUAAGAAUAUAAUGGAUUACAAUAAAUUUAUUUAAAUGGAUUUUAAUUUGUAAUAUUUAAUUGAAGGUGGAUUUAAAUGUAAUUUUAUUUAAUUUAAUA